GCCAGGUGCGGUGGCGCACGUCUGUAAUCCCAGCGCCUCGGAAGGCUGAGACAGGAGGACUGUGAAUUCAAAGCAGGUCUCAGCAACAAGGAGGCGCUAAGCAGCUCAGUGAGACCCUGUCUCUA
RNAcentral lists this small RNA (125 nucleotides) under Marmota monax (woodchuck). Lineage: Eukaryota; Metazoa; Chordata; Mammalia; Rodentia; Sciuridae. The record is from RNAcentral.